CCUUAAAAAAAAAACCUUCUGACACUGCAGUAGUGAAAAUGAAGUGCACGAUGGGCGGAAGCUAGGAAGACACUUAAAGAUGAAGUGCUUAAUUCAAGGUCACAGAAUGUCGGGGAUGGACCUCCAGAUUUCCUUACUGGUGAGACGUGGUCUUGUAACACAGUGGUUAAGAAUGUGACUUUGGAGCCAGCCUGCUAGGGGCUGAAUUCUGACUCAGCCAUUUAUUAACUGUGUGACCUUAGGGAGGAGGACCUGGUUGAUAGAAGAAUUUAUCUCAUAGUCUUAACAUCCACUGUAAUUCCGAACUUUGAGGACGAUAGAGAUCAGUGGGCUUUGACUGCCCAGCAUGCAGUCUCCAUUCUUAGGUAGGUUCCCAAGCCUGUAAAAUGUAAGUCUUAUGUUGCUGAGGGCCAUCUUGCCACCCCGAGGGGAACGCUGCCUGAGAAUGAAACCAGCAUAAGUAAAAGCUGAGCUGUGAGAUGGAGUGAGAUGAAGGCCACAUGACAUCUUUGGAGCACCUGGAUCUAACUGUGCCUUAAGCUAG
RNAcentral lists this non-coding RNA (544 nucleotides) under Pongo abelii (Sumatran orangutan). The record is from RNAcentral. Lineage: Eukaryota; Metazoa; Chordata; Mammalia; Primates; Hominidae.